Phascolarctos cinereus (koala) is the source of this 727-nucleotide long non-coding RNA. RefSeq lists it as uncharacterized. The record is from RefSeq and is a predicted model, not a curated record. NCBI's taxonomy places the organism in Eukaryota, Metazoa, Chordata, Mammalia, Diprotodontia, Phascolarctidae.
CUCCCGCGGCCAGCCCCGGGGAUGCCUGCACGAGCUGUCGAGCUGCUCCUCGCCUCGGCUGCUUGCAAAAGAUGGGGGCGGGGAUGAAAGCUUAGACCCGCUCACUCCUGCGGGGACUUGAAAAAGGCUUUAGCGAUCCCCUUUUUACAAAUGGGGAAACUGAGGCCAUCAGAGGGGAAGUGAAUUGUCCAAGGUCUCAAAGGGCAGCAGGGGCGAGAUUCGAACCCCAGUGGUCCUACGGUUUAUUAUGUCUUACACCGGGCAGGUGGCCUUCGCAAGGGGCCCAGAGCCCAGUGGGUCUGCAGACCCAGGCAAAGGGAGAAAAAGCCCAUUGAUGGUGGUAUGGAUAUGGUCCUGGAGCUGGUCAGGAAGACCUGGGUUUGAAUUCCGUUUACUAGCAGUGUAACCCUGGGUGUUCUGUUCCCUGUCCAUCUCUACCUCUUCUCAGACCUCCCUCUUCCCUGAGACACAGUAAUAUUGAAAUUGGACCAAUUAAUGGCCCUAUAAUGGCUUCUAAGUGUUCAAGUGAAAGGAAGAGUCAAUUGAUGCGGCAGACUUCAUCGUUGUCUUAUUUUUAAAAAUUGCCACAGCCACCCCAACCAUCAGCAACCACCAGCCUGAUCAGUCAGCAGCCGUCGACAUUGACGCAAGACUUUCCAUGAUUCACUGAAGACUCAGAUGAUGCUUAGCAUGUUUUUUUUUAGCAAUAAAGUGUUUUUUUAAUUAA